Molecule: non-coding RNA, 173 nt
Filed under: Candidatus Caccomorpha excrementavium
Lineage: Bacteria; Bacillati; Bacillota; Clostridia
Description: 6S / SsrS RNA
Rfam family: 6S / SsrS RNA
About the family: E. coli 6S RNA was the first non coding RNA to be sequenced, but its function was unknown until recently.
Source: RNAcentral
AUUCCUGGGGUGUUCGACAAUCCUGUGAUUUUGAACCUACAUUACGAUUUUGGGAUUCCUAUAUCUUUAAGUGGAUGUCAGGCCUCCUUUGAGUGGAAGGCAGAAGCUUAAUUGCGGUUACCCACCUAGCUGAGGCUAGGCGUCAAAAUACAGGAAACGGCAUUUUGGGGUAU